Long non-coding RNA from Haliotis rufescens (red abalone), 658 nucleotides. RefSeq lists it as uncharacterized. The record is from RefSeq and is a predicted model, not a curated record. The transcript is spliced from 2 exons. Lineage: Eukaryota; Metazoa; Mollusca; Gastropoda; Lepetellida; Haliotidae.
GCGUUGUUUACAACAAUGUUCCAAUCAUUCGUGUGUUCCUACCCUUUAUCCACAGUUCCUUUUACAGGGAGUCCUCGGAUGUCUACAGAUGCUCAAAUCGGUAUCGCCGUAACCAUAGGAACCGUCACCAUAGCCUUCAUCAUCACAUGUCUCGUUAUACUUGGAAGACGCAAACGACGCAAACGAAGCAUACAACUUGAUCAGGAAAGGGAUACCACAGAGUCACAGCCUGCCUACAUACAAGGGACGCACUUUUAAAACUCUAAUAUCUCAGUUAGCGACUUUCGUCACAACUUGGCCAUCGCUCGCAAUUGCAAGACUCUUUCUCCUAUCGAUCAUUAUCACGAAAACACGACACGACAAUCAAAGUUAUAUUGAAUAUUGUUUUAACCACAGAACAGUGAGGCAGUACAGAUAUAUUGUUCCGAAUAAGAUCAGGAAUAUACUAUUUAGCCACAAACCACAUUCUAUAAACUGCACAGUCCUUUUGGUUUGAUUUUAUUCAUUCGUUGCAAUGAAAUGAGAAUGAUUCUAAUCACAGUGUCUGCAUAAACUGAGAUAUUGUAAAGUAAAUUUGGCAUGAAAGCUUGUGUAUAUGGAUAAAAAGUCGGGAGGCUAUGUCCAAGCCUUGUUUCAAAUUAAACACAUCUGUUGGAAA